This 696-nucleotide ribosomal RNA is filed under the name Triticum aestivum (bread wheat). RNAcentral describes it as "partial small subunit ribosomal RNA". The record is from RNAcentral. Lineage: Eukaryota; Viridiplantae; Streptophyta; Magnoliopsida; Poales; Poaceae.
AUGGAUGUCGCCGUCCUGAAUUGGAAUGUGCGGGGAUUGAAUAACCCUGCGAAGAGACGGGCGGUGCAGCUGUUUGUUGCUGAGCAAAAUUGCAAGAUUGUCUGCCUGCAAGAAACAAAAAUUGGUGACAUGACUAGAGGUCUGGUGAUUGAAGCCUUGGGGCCGCGUUUCGCUGAUAAUUUCAUCUCUCUGCCAGCUAAUGGAUCCAGAGGAGGGAUUCUCAUUGCUUGCUGCGACAACCACGAGAUCACAGUUGAGCCGCUGGCGGCCGGGCUGCACUCCGUGUCAGGAAUUGUGAGGAGCGGGGCCAAUGGGAUGUGCUGGUCGAUCACUGGAGUUUAUGGACCUCAAUCUGAGGAGGACAAAGUUCAGUUUAUUGAAGAGUUAAAGAGGAUCAAGCAGCACAUGUUACCUCGCUGGAUGGCGCUCGGAGAUUUCAAUAUGAUCUGUAGAGCGAGAGACAAAAGCAACAACAAUAUAAACUUGCGGAUGAUGGGAAGAUUCAGGGCUGCGAUUGAUGAUCUGGAAUUGAUUGAUUUUCCGCUUUUGGGAAGAAGUUUCACUUGGUCUAACGAGCGCGAAAAUGCCACGCUCACCAAGAUUGACCGGAUCAUGGUGACGGGGAGGCCACCUUUCCUCACUUUCAGUUGUCCCCUGCCUCGACUAGUGUUUCUGACCAUUGCCCGCUGGUUUUGA